UCCUCGUUAGUAUAGUGGUCAGUAUCCCCGCCUGUCACGCGGGAGACCGGGGUUCAAUUCCCGACGGGGAGA
RNAcentral lists this transfer RNA (72 nucleotides) under Merluccius polli (Benguela hake). Its description in RNAcentral is "tRNA-Asp". It matches the Rfam family "tRNA". From Rfam's summary of the family: Transfer RNA (tRNA) molecules are approximately 80 nucleotides in length. The record is from RNAcentral. Lineage: Eukaryota; Metazoa; Chordata; Actinopteri; Gadiformes; Merlucciidae.